GUCUCCAUGGUGUAGUUGUUAUCACAUCUGCUUUAUAUGGAAAAGGUCCUGAGUUCAAUUCCCAGUGGAACCA
This 73-nucleotide transfer RNA is filed under the name Bos taurus (domestic cattle). It matches the Rfam family "tRNA". Rfam says of the family: Transfer RNA (tRNA) molecules are approximately 80 nucleotides in length. The record is from Rfam by way of RNAcentral. RNAcentral also lists the same sequence under 3 other names. Lineage: Eukaryota; Metazoa; Chordata; Mammalia; Artiodactyla; Bovidae.